RNAcentral lists this ribosomal RNA (496 nucleotides) under uncultured bacterium. Its description in RNAcentral is "partial 16S ribosomal RNA". It matches the Rfam family "Bacterial small subunit ribosomal RNA", at positions 29 to 507 of the family's 1533-position model. The record is from RNAcentral.
AUGAACGCUGGCGGCGUGCCUAAUACAUGCAAGUCGAGCGAACAGACGAGGAGCUUGCUCCUCUGACGUUAGCGGCGGACGGGUGAGUAACACGUGGAUAACCUACCUAUAAGACUGGGAUAACUUCGGGAAACCGGAGCUAAUACCGGAUAAUAUAUUGAACCGCAUGGUUCAAUAGUGAAAGACGGUUUUGCUGUCACUUAUAGAUGGAUCCGCGCCGCAUUAGCUAGUUGGUAAGGUAACGGCUUACCAAGGCAACGAUGCGUAGCCGACCUGAGAGGGUGAUCGGCCACAUUGGAACUGAGACACGGUCCAGACUCCUACGGGAGGCAGCAGUAGGGAAUCUUCCGCAAUGGGCGAAAGCCUGACGGAGCAACGCCGCGUGAGUGAUGAAGGUCUUCGGAUCGUAAAACUCUGUUAUUAGGGAAGAACAAAUGUGUAAGUAACUAUGCACGUCUUGACGGUACCUAAUCAGAAAGCCACGGCUAACUACGUG